UCCUGGGUUUAUCCUUGAAAAUCCUGGGUUUAUCCCAAAAAUCCUGGGUUUAUCCCGAAAAUUAUCCCGAAAAUCCUGGGUUUAUCCCGAAAAUCCUGGGUUUAUCCCGAAAAUUAUCCCAAAAACCCUGGGUUUAUCCCGAAAAUCCUGGGUUUAUCCUGAAAAUUAUCCCGAAAAUCCUGGGUUUAUCCUGAAAAUCCUGGGUUUAUCCUGAAUUCCUGGGUUUAUUCCUAAAAAACCCAGGUUUAUCCCUGAAAAUCCCAGAUUUACACCCAAAUCCUCAGGUUUAUCCCUAAAAAUCUCGGCUUUAUCCCAAAAUCCCAGGUUUAUCCCCCAAAAUUCCCAUUUUUAUCCCCCAGAAUUCCCAGGUUUAUCCCAAAAUCCCAGGUUUAUCCUAGAAAUCCCAGAUUUAUGCCUAAAAAUCCCAGAUUUAUCCCCAAAUUCCCAGGUUUAUCCCCCAAAAUUCCCAGGUUUAUCCCAAAAUCCCGGGUUUAUCCCUAAAAAUCCCAGAUUUAUCCCCAAAUCCUCAGGUUUAUCCCUAAAAAUCUCGGCUUUAUCCCUAAACCCCCAGGUUUAUCCCCAAAAUCCCAGGUUUAUCCCCAAAUUCCCAGGUUUAUCCCCCAAAAUUCCCAGGUUUAUCCCAAAAUCCCGGGUUUAUCCCUAAAAAUCCCAGAUUUAUCCCCAAAUCCCCAGGUUUUAUCCCCCUAAUUCCCAGGUUUAUCCCAAAAUUCCCAGGUUUAUCCCCAAAAAUUCCGGGUUUAUCCCUAAAAAUCCCAGGUUCAUUCCAAAAUCCCCAGGUUUAUCCCAAAAUUCCGGGAUGAUUUUGGGGACGUUUCCCUGCUGCCGGCAUUCUCCGUUCCACAAGCGCUGGCAAAGCUCCGUGGGACGCCGAGAACCUCAGGGGAUCGGGAUGAAGAUCCCGUAGGAUUCUGUGGAUUGGGAUGAAGAUCCCGUAGGAUUCUGUGGGAUUGGGAUGAAGAUCCUGUAGGAUCUGGAUUUGUGGGAUCGGGAUGAAGAUCCAGCGGGAUCCCUGUGGGAUUGGGAUGAAGAUCCCGUAGGAUUCUGUGGGAUCGGGAUGAAGAUCCUGUAGGAUCUGGAUCUGUGGGAUCGGAUGAAGAUCCAGCGGGAUCCCUGUGGGAUUGGGAUGAAGAUCCUGUAGGAUCUGGAUCUGUGGGAUCGGGAAAAGAUGGAGUAGGAUCCCUGUGGGAUCGGGAUGAAGAUCCCAUAGGAUUCUGUGGGGUUGGGAUGAAGAUCCCGCAGGAUCUGGAUCUGUGGGGUCGGGAUGAAGAUCCAGCGGGAUCCCUGUGGGAUUGGGAUGAAGAUCCCGUAGGAUUCUGUGGGGUUGGAAUGAAGAUCCAGCAGGGUUCUAUGGGGUUGGGAAAAAGAUCCAGUAGGAUCCGGCUCUGUGGGAUCAGGACAAAGAUGGAAUAGGAUCCGUGUGGGAUCGGGAUGAAGAUCCAGCAGGAUCUGUGUGGGAUCGGGAUGAAGAGGGAGUAGGAUCCCUGUGGGAUCGGGAUGAAGAUCCCGUAGGAUUCUGUGGGGGUUGGGAUGAAGAUCCAGCAGGAUCUGUGUGGGAUCGGGAUGAAGAUCCAGCAGGAUCCCUGUGGGAUCGGGAUGAAGAUCCCGUAGGAUUCUGUGGGGUUGGGAUGAAGAUCCCGUAGGAUUCUGUGGGAUCAAGAUGAAGAUCCAGUAGGAUCUGUGUGGGAUUGGGAUGAAGAUCCAGCAGGAUCCCUGUGGGAUUGGGAUGAAGAUCCCAUAGGAUUCUAUGGGGUUGGGAUGAAGAUCCCGUAGGAUUCUGUGGGAUUGGGAUGAAGAUCCUGUAGGAUUCUGUGGGAUCGGGAUGAAGAUCCUGUAGGAUCUGGAUUUGUGGGAUCGGGAUGAAGAUCCAGCGGGAUCCCUGUGGGAUCGGGAUGAAGAUCCCAUCCCGUAGGAUUCUAUGGGGUUGGGACAACUGCUUUUCCUGGUGCUCCAAGGCCACGAUUGGGGUCAUCCAUUGGGAAAGAUCUGGGAUGAGUUUGGGGGACCUUUUCCUGGUGCUCCAAGCCCGGGAUCGGGGUUAUCCAGGUGGGUUCAUCCAUUGGGAUGGAGAUCAGAUGGAUUUGAGGAGCUUUUCCUGGUGCUCCAGGACCGGGAUUGGGUUCUUGGGAAUGCUCCGAGGUGAUUUUGGGGAGCUUUUCCUGGUGCUCCAAGGCCACGAUUGGGGUCCCUCAGGUGGGUUCAUCCAUUGGGAUGGAGAUCAGAUGGAUUUGAGGAGCUUUUCCUGGUGCUCCAAGCCCGGGAUCGGGGUCAUCCAUUGGGAAAGAUCUGGGAUGAGUUUGGGGAGCUUUUCCUGGUGCUCCAAGCCCGGGAUCGGGGUCAUCCAUGGGGAAAGAUCUGGGAUAAGUUUGGGGAGCUUUUCCUGGUGCUCCAAGGCCACAAUUGGGUUCAUCCAUCGGGAAAGAUCUGGGAUGAGUUUGGGGAGCUUUUCCUGGUGCUCCAAGGCCACGAUUGGGGUCCCUCAGGUGGGUUCAUCCAUUGGGAUGGAGAUCGGAUGGAUUUGGGGAGCUUUUCCUGGUGCUCCAAGCCCGGCAUCGGGGUCAUCCAUGGGGAAAGAUCUGGGAUGAGUUUGGGGAGCUUUUCCUGGUGCUCCAAGCCCGGCAUCGGGGUUAUCCAUCGGGAAAGAUCUGGGAUGAGUUUGGGGAGCUUUUCCUGGUGCUCCAAGACCGGGAUCGGGGUCAUCCAUUGGGAAAGAUCUGGGAUGAGUUUGGGAAGCUUUUCCUGGUGCUCCAGGAUUGCGAUCGGGGGUUCUUGGGAAUGCUCCGAGGUGAUUUUGGGGAGCUUUUCCUGGUGCUCCAGGAUUGCGAUCGGGGUUCUUGGGAAUGCUCCGAGGUGAUUUUGGGGAGCUUUUCCUGGUGCUCCGGGACCGCGAUCGAGGUUCUUGGGAAUGCUCCGAGGUGAUUUUGGGGAGCUUUUCCCCAUACCCCAAGCCCCCGAUGGGGCCUCACGCAGCCGCGUUUGUCCUCUC
Corvus hawaiiensis (hawaiian crow) is the source of this 3004-nucleotide long non-coding RNA. RefSeq lists it as uncharacterized. The record is from RefSeq and is a predicted model, not a curated record. The transcript has 3 exons. Lineage: Eukaryota; Metazoa; Chordata; Aves; Passeriformes; Corvidae.